GGAAUAUUGGACAAUGGGGGCAACCCUGAUCCAGCCAUGCCGCGUGUGUGAAGAAGGCCUUUUGGUUGUAAAGCACUUUAAGCAGGGAGGAGAGGCUAAUGGUUAAUACCCAUUAGAUUAGACGUUACCUGCAGAAUAAGCACCGGCUAACUCUGUGCCAGCAGCCGCGGUAAUACAGAGGGUGCGAGCGUUAAUCGGAAUUACUGGGCGUAAAGCGAGUGUAGGUGGCUCAUUAAGUCACAUGUGAAAUCCCCGGGCUUAACCUGGGAACUGCAUGUGAUACUGGUGGUGCUAGAAUAUGUGAGAGGGAAGUAGAAUUCCAGGUGUAGCGGUGAAAUGCGUAGAGAUCUGGAGGAAUACCGAUGGCGAAGGCAGCUUCCUGGCAUAAUAUUGACACUGAGAUUCGAAAGCGUGGGUAGCAAACA
This 425-nucleotide ribosomal RNA is filed under the name uncultured Enhydrobacter sp. Its description in RNAcentral is "bacterial SSU rRNA". It matches the Rfam family "Bacterial small subunit ribosomal RNA", at positions 358 to 774 of the family's 1533-position model. Lineage: Bacteria; Pseudomonadati; Pseudomonadota; Alphaproteobacteria; Hyphomicrobiales. The record is from RNAcentral.